CCUACGGGAGGCAGCAGUAGGGAAUUUUGCGCAAUGGGGGAAACCCUGACGCAGCAACGCCGCGUGAUCGAUGAAGCCCUUCGGGGUGUAAAGAUCUGUCAGUGGGGACGAAACCUGACGGUACCCACAGAGGAAGCACCGGCUAACUCCGUGCCAGCAGCCGCGGUAAUACGGGGGGUGCAAGCGUUGUCCGGAUUCACUGGGUGUAAAGGGAGCGUAGACGGCCAAGCAAGCCAGGGGUGAAAGCCCGGGGCCCAACCCCGGGACUGCCCUUGGAACUGCAUGGCUGGAGUGCGGGAGGGGCAGGCGGAAUUCCUGGUGUAGCGGUGAAAUGCGUAGAUAUCAGGAGGAACACCGGCGGCGAAGGCGGCCUGCUGGACCGCGACUGACGUUGAGGCUCGAAAGCGUGGGGAGCGAACAGGAUUAGAUACCCGAGUAGUC
RNAcentral lists this ribosomal RNA (441 nucleotides) under uncultured bacterium. RNAcentral describes it as "partial 16S ribosomal RNA". It matches the Rfam family "Bacterial small subunit ribosomal RNA", at positions 338 to 795 of the family's 1533-position model. The record is from RNAcentral.